This 773-nucleotide ribosomal RNA is filed under the name uncultured marine bacterium. RNAcentral's name for it is "bacterial SSU rRNA". It matches the Rfam family "Bacterial small subunit ribosomal RNA", at positions 61 to 873 of the family's 1533-position model. The record is from RNAcentral.
GUCGAACGAAGGCCCUAGCUUGCUAGGUGUCCUUAGUGGCGCACGGGUGAGUAACACGUGGGAACAUACCUUAUAGUACGGAAUAACUGCGGGAAACUGUAGCUAAUACCGUAUAUUCCAGUAAUGGGAAAGAUUUAUCGCUAUAAGAUUGGCCCGCGCAAGAUUAGCUUGUUGGUGAGGUAAAAGCUCACCAAGGCUUCGAUCUUUAGCUGGUUUGAGAGGAUGAUCAGCCACACUGGGACUGAGACACGGCCCAGACUCCUACGGGAGGCAGCAGUAGGGAAUAUUGGACAAUGGGGGCAACCCUGAUCCAGCAAUGCAGCGUGAGUGACGAAGGCCUUAGGGUUGUAAAACUCUUUCAUCGGAGAGGAUGAUGACAGUAGCCGAAGAAGAAGGACCGGCUAAUUCCGUGCCAGCAGCCGCGGUAAUACGGAAGGUCCUAGCGUUGUUCGGAAUUACUGGGCGUAAAGCGCAUGUAGGCGGAACAGAAGGUUAGAAGUGAAAUCCCUGGGCUCAACCUAGGAAUUGCUUUUAAAACUUCUGUUCUGGAAUUCAGGAGAGGAAAAUGGAAUUUCCAGUGUAGAGGUGAAAUUCGUAGAUAUUGGAAGGAACACCAGUGGCGAAGGCGAUUUUCUGGACUGAUAUUGACGCUGAGAUGCGAAGGCAUGGGUAGCAAACGGGAUUAGAUACCCCGGUAGUCCAUGCAGUAAACGAUGGGUGCUAGUCGUCGGACUUUUGUUCGGUGUCGUAGCUAACGCGUUAAGCACCCCGCC